RNAcentral lists this ribosomal RNA (482 nucleotides) under uncultured bacterium. RNAcentral's name for it is "partial 16S ribosomal RNA". It matches the Rfam family "Bacterial small subunit ribosomal RNA", at positions 28 to 523 of the family's 1533-position model. The record is from RNAcentral.
AAUGGACGUUGGCGGCGUGGAUUAGGCAUGCAAGUCGAGCGAGAACCGUAGCAAUACGGGGACAGCGGCGAAAGGGACAGUAAUGUGUAGGUACCUACCCCCGGGUUCGGGAUAGCUGCGGGAAACUGCAGGUAAUACCGAAUAAUGUCUUCGGACCAAAGGUGUGAUUCCACCUGGGGAGGGGCCUGCAUCCUAUUAGCUUGUUGGUGGGGUAACGGCUUACCAAGGCGACGAUGGGUAGCGGGUGUGAGAGCAUGACCCGCGUCAUUGGGACUGAGACACUGCCCAGACACCGACGGGUGGCUGCAGUCGUGAAUCUUCGGCAAUGGGCGCAAGCCUGACCGAGCGACGCCGCGUGCGGGAUGAAGGCCUUCGGGUUGUAAACCGCUGUCGUAGAGGAGGAAAUGCAGGGGGGUUCUCCCCUCUGUUUGACCUAUUCUAGGAGGAAGUACGGGCUAAGUUCGUGCCAGCCGCCGCAGUAA